This is a non-coding RNA of Lyophyllum atratum, 83 nucleotides long. The record is from the annotation of a GenBank genome assembly. Lineage: Eukaryota; Fungi; Basidiomycota; Agaricomycetes; Agaricales; Lyophyllaceae.
GCCCCUGUUGUCUAAUGGUUAUGACGUCAGACUUCGACGUAUUCUAAAUCUGGAGGUUGCGGGUUCGAGUCCCGUCGGGGGUU